CAGCUCUCCGAGUAGUGUGGACGUUUAUUGGGCCUAAAGCGUCCGUAGCUUGCUAGAUAAGUCCUCUGUUAAAUCCACCGAUUCAAUCGUUGGAUUGCGGGGGAUACUGUUUGGCUAGGGGACGGGAGAGGUCGACGGUAUUUCCGGGGUAGGGGUGAAAUCCUAUAAUCCCGGGAGGACCACCAGUGGCGAAGGCUGUCGACUAGAACGCGCCCGACGGUGAGGGAUGAAAGCUGGGGGAGCGAACCGGAUUAGAUACCCGAGUAGUCC
RNAcentral lists this ribosomal RNA (270 nucleotides) under uncultured archaeon. RNAcentral's name for it is "partial 16S ribosomal RNA". It matches the Rfam family "Archaeal small subunit ribosomal RNA", at positions 477 to 747 of the family's 1478-position model. The record is from RNAcentral.